CCUGCGGAGGGAUCAUUACACAAAUAUGAAGGCGGGCUGGAACCUCUCGGGGUUACAGCCUUGCUGAAUUAUUCACCCUUGUCUUUUGCGUACUUCUUGUUUCCUUGGUGGGUUCGCCCACCACUAGGACAAACAUAAACCUUUUGUAAUUGCAAUCAGCGUCAGUAACAAAUUAAUAAUUACAACUUUCAACAACGGAUCUCUUGGUUCUGGCAUCGAUGAAGAACGCAGCGAAAUGCGAUAAGUAGUGUGAAUUGCAGAAUUCAGUGAAUCAUCGAAUCUUUGAACGCACAUUGCGCCCUUUGGUAUUCCAAAGGGCAUGCCUGUUCGAGCGUCAUUUGUACCCUCAAGCUUUGCUUGGUGUUGGGCGUCUUGUCUCUAGCUUUGCUGGAGACUCGCCUUAAAGUAAUUGGCAGCCGGCCUACUGGUUUCGGAGCGCAGCACAAGUCGCACUCUCUAUCAGCAAAGGUCUAGCAUCCAUUAAGCCUUUUUUCAACUUUUGACCUCGGAUCAGGUAGGGAUACCCGCUGAACUUAAGCAUAUCAAUAAGCGGAGGAA
This 558-nucleotide ribosomal RNA is filed under the name Alternaria alternata. RNAcentral describes it as "eukaryotic LSU rRNA". The stretch from base 184 to 337 matches the Rfam family "5.8S ribosomal RNA". Lineage: Eukaryota; Fungi; Ascomycota; Dothideomycetes; Pleosporales; Pleosporaceae. The record is from RNAcentral.